AAUCAACGCUGGCGGCGUGCCUAACACAUGCAAGUCGAACGCGAAAGUCCCGCAAGGGAUCAGUAGAGUGGCAAACGGGUGAGUAACGCGUGGGUGACCUACCUUCGAGUGGGGGAUAACGUUCCGAAAGGGACGCUACUACCGCAUGACAUCCUGCCUUUGAACAGGCGGACAUUAAAGCCGGGGAUCGCAAGACCCGGCGCUUGAAGAGGGGCCCGCGUCCGAUUAGCUAGUUGGGAGGU
This 242-nucleotide ribosomal RNA is filed under the name uncultured bacterium. Its description in RNAcentral is "partial 16S ribosomal RNA". It matches the Rfam family "Bacterial small subunit ribosomal RNA", at positions 32 to 257 of the family's 1533-position model. The record is from RNAcentral.